RNAcentral lists this ribosomal RNA (280 nucleotides) under uncultured bacterium. RNAcentral describes it as "partial 16S ribosomal RNA". It matches the Rfam family "Bacterial small subunit ribosomal RNA", at positions 506 to 784 of the family's 1533-position model. The record is from RNAcentral.
UGCCAGCCGCCGCGGUAAUACGGAGGGUGCGAGCGUUAAUCGGAAUCACUGGGCGUAAAGCGUACGUAGGUGGCUUGUUAAGUCGUGCGUGAAAGCUCCCUGACUCAACCGGGAGAGGUCGUGCGAUACUGGCAAGCUUGAGACAGGUAGAGGCAGGUAGAAUUCCAGGUGUAGUGGUGAAAUGCGUAGAUAUCUGGAGGAAUACCCGUGGCGAAGGCGGCCUGCUGGGCCUGAUCUGACGCUCAGACGCGAAAGCAUGGGGAGCGAACGGGAUUAGAUA